Molecule: ribosomal RNA, 441 nt
Filed under: uncultured bacterium
Lineage: Bacteria
Description: partial 16S ribosomal RNA
Rfam family: Bacterial small subunit ribosomal RNA
Source: RNAcentral
CCUACGGGUGGCUGCAGGAGGGAAUAUUGGGUAAUGGGCGAAAGCCUGACCCAGCAACGCCGCGUGUGCGAUGAAGGCCUUCGGGUCGUAAAGCACUUUUUGACGGGAUGAGAAAGGACAGUACCGUCAGAAUAAGCCUCGGCUAACUACGUGCCAGCAGCCGCGGUAACACGUAGGAGGCGAGCGUUAUUCGGAUUUAUUGGGCGUAAAGCGCGUGUAGGCGGUCUGAUAAGUUGGAUGUGAAAUCUCACAGCUUAACUGAGAGAGGUCGUUCAAUACUGUCAGGCUAGAGGAUAGGAGAGGGAGGUGGAAUUCCGAGUGUAGUGGUGAAAUGCGUAGAUAUUCGGAGGAACACCAGUGGCGAAGGCGGCCUCCUGGCCUAUUUCUGACGCUCAGACGCGAAAGCUAGGGGAGCGAACGGGAUUAGAUACCCCAGUAGUC